GAUGAACGCUGGCGGCGUGCCUAAUACAUGCAAGUCGAGCGAACAGACGAGGAGCUUGCUCCUCUGACGUUAGCGGCGGACGGGUGAGUAACACGUGGAUAACCUACCUAUAAGACUGGGAUAACUUCGGGAAACCGGAGCUAAUACCGGAUAAUAUAUUGAACCGCAUGGAUCAAUAGUGAAAGACGGUUUUGCUGUCACUUAUAGAUGGAUCCGCGCCGCAUUAGCUAGUUGGUAAGGUAACGGCUUACCAAGGCAACGAUGCGUAGCCGACCUGAGAGGGUGGUCCGCCACACUGGAAGUGAGACACGGUCCAGACUCCUACGGGAGGCAACAGUAGGGAAUCUUCCGCAAUGGGCGAAAGCCUGACAGAGCAACGCCGCGUGAGUGAUGAAGGUCUUCGGAUCGUAAAACUCUGUUAUUAGGGAAGAAGAAAUGUGUAAGUAACUAUGCACGUCUUGACGGUACCUAAUCAGAAAGCCACGGCUAACUACGUG
Molecule: ribosomal RNA, 497 nt
Filed under: uncultured bacterium
Lineage: Bacteria
Description: partial 16S ribosomal RNA
Rfam family: Bacterial small subunit ribosomal RNA
Source: RNAcentral